This 198-nucleotide ribosomal RNA is filed under the name uncultured bacterium. RNAcentral describes it as "partial 16S ribosomal RNA". It matches the Rfam family "Bacterial small subunit ribosomal RNA", at positions 1294 to 1500 of the family's 1533-position model. The record is from RNAcentral.
CGGAUUGUAGGCUGAAACUCGCCUACAUGAAGCUGGAGUUACUAGUAAUCGCAGAUCAGAAUGCUGCGGUGAAUGCGUUCCCGGGUCUUGUACACACCGCCCGUCAAGCCAUGGGAGCCGGGGGCGCCUGAAGUCCGGGACCGCGAGGACCGGCCUAGGGCGAAACUGGUAACUGGGGCUAAGUCGUAACAAGGUACC